Molecule: microRNA precursor, 92 nt
Filed under: Canis lupus familiaris (dog)
Lineage: Eukaryota; Metazoa; Chordata; Mammalia; Carnivora; Canidae
Also listed under: 1 other name
Description: mir-8799 microRNA precursor family
Rfam family: mir-8799 microRNA precursor family
Source: Rfam by way of RNAcentral
GGAGAAACGAGGGAUCCUGGGCUGUGUGUCUCCGGUGCCCUGUGCUCCCGGGCCUGUGCUGUUGGAAUCACACUCAUGGCCCGCAGCUCCCU